GGCCUACGGGACGCAGCAGUCGGGAAUAUUGCGCAAUGGAGGAAACUCUGACGCAGUGACGCCGCGUGCAGGAAGAAGGUUUUCGGAUUGUAAACUGCUUUAGACAGGGAAGAAAAAAGACAGUACCUGUAGAAUAAGCUCCGGCUAACUACGUGCCAGCAGCCGCGGUAAUACGUAGGGGGCAAGCGUUAUCCGGAAUUAUUGGGCGUAAAGAGUACGUAGGUGGCAACCUAAGCGCAGGGUUUAAGGCAAUGGCUCAACCAUUGUUCGCCCUGCGAACUGGGAUGCUUG
This 291-nucleotide ribosomal RNA is filed under the name uncultured bacterium. Its description in RNAcentral is "partial 16S ribosomal RNA". It matches the Rfam family "Bacterial small subunit ribosomal RNA", at positions 335 to 644 of the family's 1533-position model. The record is from RNAcentral.